RNAcentral lists this ribosomal RNA (500 nucleotides) under uncultured bacterium. RNAcentral describes it as "partial 16S ribosomal RNA". It matches the Rfam family "Bacterial small subunit ribosomal RNA", at positions 30 to 523 of the family's 1533-position model. The record is from RNAcentral.
AUUGAACGCUGGCGGAAUGCUUUACACAUGCGAGUCGAACGGCAGCACGGACUUCGGUCUGGUGGCGAGUGGCGAACGGGUGAGUAAUGUAUCGGAACGUGCCCAGUCGUGGGGGAUAACGUAGUGAAAAUUACGCUAAUACCGCAUACGAUCUAUGGAUGAAAGCGGGGGAUCGCAAGACCUCGCGCGAUUGGAGCGGCCGAUAUCAGAUUAGGUAGUUGGUGGGGUAAAGGCCCACCAAGCCAACGAUCUGUAGCUGGUCUGAGAGGACGAUCAGCCACACUGGAACUGAGACACGGUCCAGACUCCUACGGGUGGCAGCAGUGGGGAAUUUUGGACAAUGGGCGAAAGCCUGAUCCAGCCAUUCCGCGUGCAGGAUGAAGGCCCUCGGGUUGUAAACUGCUUUUGUACAGAACGAAAAGGUUUCUACUAAUACUAGGAGCUCAUGACGGUACUGUAAGAAUAAGCACCGGCUAACUACGUGCCAGCCGCCGCCGUAA